GAGGGUAUAGCUCAGUGGUAGAGCGUGUGCUUAGCAUGCACGAGGUCCUGGGUUCAAUCUCCAGUAGCUCUG
This 72-nucleotide transfer RNA is filed under the name Camelus bactrianus (Bactrian camel). It matches the Rfam family "tRNA". From Rfam's summary of the family: Transfer RNA (tRNA) molecules are approximately 80 nucleotides in length. Their secondary structure includes four short double-helical elements and three loops (D, anti-codon, and T loops). Lineage: Eukaryota; Metazoa; Chordata; Mammalia; Artiodactyla; Camelidae. The record is from Rfam by way of RNAcentral. RNAcentral also lists the same sequence under 2 other names.